RNAcentral lists this long non-coding RNA (24605 nucleotides) under Populus tremula. RNAcentral describes it as "long non-coding RNA (PTRE_LNC001153)". The record is from RNAcentral. Lineage: Eukaryota; Viridiplantae; Streptophyta; Magnoliopsida; Malpighiales; Salicaceae.
UGGAUCAGGUGAAGGAAAUUGCUUGUGGGCUAGAGCAGAGUGGGCAUCGAUUCCUGUGGUCUCUACGUCAACCACCACCGGAAGGGAAGAUGGAACCUCCAAGCGAUUACAAUCCUCGGGAUGUCUUACCUGAAGGAUUUUUGGAUCGGACGGCUAACACAGGAAAAAUAAUUGGAUGGGCCCCGCAGACAGAUAUUUUGGCCCAUCCAUCCGUAGGAGGGUUUGUAUCGCACUGUGGAUGGAACUCUAUAUUGGAAAGCAUAUGGUUUGGCGUUCCAAUUGCCGCGUGGCCAUUAUAUGCAGAGCAACAACUCAAUGCCUUUCAAAUGAUUGUUGAGCUCGGAUUGGGAGUGGAGAUUAAAAUGGAUUAUAGAAGAGAUUUUAACUGGGAUGGUACUGAAAAUGUCAUUAGUGCCGGGGAGAUCGAGAGAGGAGUAAGGUGUUUAAUGGAGCUUUGCGAUGAGAAAAGGGAGAAGUUGAAGGAGAUGAGUGAGAAGAGCAGGAAGGCUUUGGAGAACGGUGGAUCCUCGUUCACUUGGUUAGGUCGUUUCAUUCAAGAUACCGUGGACCGCCUGCCAUGAUUAAACUGUACUCUUUUCGUGUUAUUUAAUAAAACGCUUUCUUAAUAACCUGUUUUUAAAAAUAUGGUUGGGUUGUUUUUAAAAAAAUUCAUGUUAAAAUAAAUAAAAAUAUAUUUUUUUAUUUUUUAAAAAUUAUUUUUAAAAUCAGCAAAUAAAAAAAAAAUUCUUGUAAGAAAAAUUAAAUUUUUUCAAUAAUACGAUUUAAACUGUUUUUCUAAACGUUCUCCUAGUUCAUACUUAAAUGAUAUACCCGUGCAAUGUUCUAGGUUUAUAACAUGUUUGUGAGUUGUCAUGGAUAUAUGAAGAAAAAUUAUUGUAAUUUACAAUAUUUUUUUAAAAAUUAUUAUAAAGAUUCUUGACUAGAUUAAUAUUAAAAAUAAAAUCAACAAAGAUAAUUUUAAAAAAAUCUUUUUAAAAAACAUGGAAGGAAAAGUAUAAAACACUGUAGCAUUUAUAGUGUUUCAUUAGAUAGAAAAUCUAAAGUUUUAUGCCACUAUUACACUGUUUUUUAAAUAUUAAUAAAGUUUGUUUAAAUAUAUAAAUCAUUUAGUUUAAUCAAAAUCAAUCAAAGAUAACACAUUGUAAUUACAGAUAUUGUUUGUAAAAUUAAUAUUAUUAAAUGAUUUCCCCUUUUAUAUCCAUUAAAGAUAACAUAAUCCUUCAAUAGGUGAGAAAUUUUUUUUUCCUUAUUUCUUUAUUAUUUUUAUUGAAAUAGAUUAUGCAUACAUUACCUUCAACGUCAUUGUUAAUGUAUAAAAAUAAAUAUGUUUUAAUAAGAAAAUUCAUCGCAUCAAAUGAAAAAAAUAUUAUCAUCACUAAACUUUUAUAAAAUAUAUAAAAAAUCUAAUCAAUUUAUUCAAAAAUAUUACGCAAUAGAAAAGGGAAAAUAAUAUAAAUAUUAAUUUGAAGUAAAGGAAAAAACUUAAAAAAAAUUCAAUUUUAUAUUAAAAUAAAUAUUUUUUUAGAAUCAUAAAAAAAUAAUUUUAACAAAAACAAAAUUUAAAAUUUUAAAAAUCAUAAUUGAAACCGCAUUACUAAACAUAACCUUCAUUUUCUUUUUCAAACGUUAGUAUAAUCAUAAUUUAAACAUGAUUUCUGCAAUGCCUUUUAUUUGUCAGGUAAAGUGAAACUUUCUACGGCAAAAUUCUUUUAGUAAAUAAAGAAAGUGGAGAUGGGCCAGGCUUUCCUCGUACAAACUUGGGUCACAUCGCAUGUGCAUAGGAUCAGAAGAAUGUUGGAUCGGUUAAGCCCAUAUUUUGUAAUCAAUAACUUAGGCCGAUCCAAUACUUAUUUGAUUUUUAGAAAUUUGAAAUUACAUAUAUAUGUUAAUCGAACUAAUCGUAUUAUUACUUAUCAUUUUUUCUAAAAAUAUCAUCUUUCUUUCAAGAACUGUCCCUAUUCCCUAAGGGCAUUAUUUAUUUAUUUUUUUAGGAUACAACAGGGGAGCAUUUACCUGGUUUGUUUCAUUUUAUAGUAUUUUGCAUGUUGGCUUCGGCCUUAUAAUCUAUAAAAAAAGAAGAGGAAAAUGAAGAGAGAGAAAAAAGUGUCGAUGAUUAAACAAAGCAUAGAUCUAGAUAAUAUAGAUUAUAGUUGUUAAACUGGGUUCAGUAAUCUACUCAAAAUAAAAUUUAAAUCACUAAGUUACAAGGUGCAUAUCAAUUAUUUUUAUUAAAAUAUAGGUGGUAUUUGGUUCUAGAAUUUUUUUUUUUUAAAAAAAGAAAUUCUUAUUGUUGAUGUGUCUAGGUGGGACCUAGUUAAUAGGGUUAUUAAAUAAGUUUUUUUGGGUGUGUAUAUAUAACUUUAACUUGGCCCCGAUCAAAGUUAAAAUCCUUACUUUUUAAAAUUAAUUUAUCAAGUUAAAUUAAGUUUAAUCAUUAUGACAUUUGGUUUUUUUUCUUGAUUUAAAUUUCGAGAUUAGUGUUUAUUUUUUUAAAAAAAUACACCUAACUGAUACAAGAUGAUGUGUUUUUAAAGUUAUUCAUAACCUAAAUUUAAUCUCUAUUAACAUGAAUAUAUAUAUAUAUAUAUAUAUAAGCAUAGAAAAUUCAGCCCAUAAUAUGUAGUGAAAAACGUUGUCUUCUACUUUGAAUUUCAUAAAAGAGAUCUAAAUUUAAAUUGCUGACAGGGACGGCAUCCCUUUUUUUGGGUCUUCUUGACGAAUUGUAAAAGCAGUCCACAAUCACAGCAAAGCCAUGACCUCACCUAUAUCACAAUAAUAUGUAGCACCGGAAGUUCUCGUUCAGUAUGAAGUUGAAUGCAAGCCUAUGUCCAUCUCGUGUAGUUGAAGAGGCCCGCGACAAACCUCAAUUUCUUCUUGCUGCUAGUGCUUCUUGUUAAAGCAGCUUUCAGUUUUCUCUUAAUGUUACAAGCUGUUGUUGAUCUCGAUUGAGUUGACAAGUCAUCGCCAGCUUCUUCUUCUUCUUACCAUAAAAGAGCGCUCCGACCGUCAAGCGGGCAAAAGCUUGGCUUGGUAGGUUCCGGUGAACCUUUAGUCACAAAAAUUAAUAGGAUCCAUGAAUAAUAAUCAGUGAUUUUUCCUUUAUCAAACAGUUGGCUCUUUACUUUAAACACAACUUCUAACUCGUAAAGAAAAGGUAUCUUACUAUUUUUCUUAUCAAUUUCAAGGUUUUGUAUUAUAUGAAAGGACUUUUUGUGAUGUUUAUGAAUGUGGUCAAAAUAUUGUUAAGUGAAAAUUUAAAAUUAAUUUUUUAUAUAUUUUUAAUUGUUUUAAUGUAUUAUUCUUAAAAAUAUAUUAUUUUAAUAUAUUUAAAAAAAUACUAAAAUACCAAUCACGAACACAAGUGUCCAACAACCACAAUCAAUGGAUGCAGCCCACUAAGGACAAAUCGGGGAGGUUGCCAAUUGCCCCUAAAUUUAACAACUCUGGCCCCUCCAAGUUAAUAAUCUCGCAUAUUUGGUACCUUUCUUUCAGAAAAUUUGAAUUUUAUCCUUGCAAAAUGAAAAUUUUAAUAAAAGACUAUUUCUCUUAAUAAAUUUUACCAUCGAAAUAUAGAAGAUUAACUCUUCUCAAAAGAUGAUCAAUUUGUUCCUCUUCCCUCACCAUAUAAUCUUAGUUGAUCUUUGUUGGGAAAAUGAAUUCCCUAAGGAAUUGUGAGUUCCCGAAUGACUUGAGGAAGUACCUUUCAGACUCUGCUUGUCUCCAUUUCUAUUGGAUCGUUUGAGCUGUAUCAUGUCCUAUACACGACUUCCUCUACACGCAUAACCAAGAGGGCAUCGGUUGUAUUUUUGUACAGAGAAGUAUUCAAAGAGAUCUCAAUUUAAAUUUCUGACGGGGACGGUAUCGCAUUUUAUUGGGUCUUCUUGACGAAUUGUAAAAGCAGUCCACAAUGACACCAAAGCCAUGACCUCACUCUCACUCUUGUCCUGCACGUGCACGUAUAUAUUUUUUAACAGUAAAUUGCCAAUCUCAAGUCCACUUGAUUAUAGCUACCAGUAGUGCCCUUAAAAAGGAUAUGAAAAUCAGUCUUUUACAUGCAAUCCCACCUUGAAAUUCUCUAGCAAAUUGAGGGAAAAAAAACAGAGCUCAGUCGCAGAAUGAAGAAAGCAGAGCUGGUCUUCAUACCAACAACAGGUAUAAGCCACCUCCUAUCCGCAGUAGAGGUAGCAAAGCUUCUUGUAGACCGUGAUGAGAGGCUUUCAAUCACCUUCCUCAUCAUGAAACCACGUUCUGACCCCAAGACUGAUAGGUUUAUAAAUUCAGUGAGUACAGCCAGUAAUCGUAUCCGGUUCAUCGACUUGCCUAAAGAUGAGACUGAUCCAAACGACCCCAUCAAGAUCUUCUUUUCUUUCAUUGAAGCCCAGAACCCCGUGUCAAAGACGAAGUCUCUAAGCUUGUGAGCAGUCGAGUCAAGCCCUGACUCGCCUACACUUUCUGGGUUUGUUCUCGAUAUGUUUUGUACACCAAUGAUAGACGUGGCCAAUGAAUUUGGUGUUCCCUCAUAUAUUUCCUUACGUCAGGUGCAGCUUUCUUGGCCUCCAAUUUAUGUUCAGGCUCUUCACGAUGAGCAGAAAGUUGACCCUACUGAGUUCAAGGGCUCGGAUGCUGAGUUGGUCAUGCCGUGUUUGGCAAAUCCUCUUCCAGCUAAGGUCUUGCCUUUUUUGCUUGACAAAGAGUGGCUGCCAUCUUUCCUCGUCAAGCUAGAGGUUUAGAGAAACUAAGGGUAUUAUAAUAAACACAUUUGAAGAGCUGGAAUCUCAUGCGAUCCACUCCUUUUCUAAAGGUAAUACCCCUCCGGUAUAUCCAGUGGGUCCCAUUUUAAACCUUAAUAGAGAUGAUGGUGGUGGCGAGGAGUCUGAUAAAUACAAAGACAUCAAGCAAUGGCUCGAUGAUCAGCCCCUAUCCUCAGUAGUGUAUCUAUGCUUCGGGAGCAUGGGGGGUUUCAGAGUGGAUCAGGUGAAGGAAAUUGCUUGUGGGCUAGAGCAGAGCGGGCAUCGAUUCUUGUGGUCUCUGCGUCAACCACCACCGGAAGGGACGAUGGAACCUCCAAGCGAUUACAAUCCUCGGGAUGUCUUACCUGAAGGAUUUUUGGAUCGGACGGCUAACACAGGAAAAAUAAUUGGAUGGGCCCCCAGACAGAUAUUUUGGGCCAUCCAUCCGUAGGAGGGUUCGUAUCGCACUGUGGAUGGAACUCUAUAUUGGAAAGCAUAUGGUUUGGCGUUCCGAUUGCCGCGUGGCCAUUAUAUGCAGAGCAACAAUUUAAUGCCUUUCAAAUAGUUGUUGAGCUCGGAUUGGGAGUGGAGAUUAAAAUGGAUUAUAGAAGAGACUUUAACUGGGAUGGUAGUGAAAAUGUCAUUAGUGCCGGGGAGAUCGAGAGAGGAGUAAGGUGUUUAAUGGAGCUUUGCGAUGAGAAAAGGGAGAAGUUGAAGGAGAUGAGUGGAAAGAGCAGGAAGGCUUCGGAGAACGGUGGAUCCUCGUUCACUUGGUUAGGUCGUUUCAUUCAAGAUACGGUGGACCACGUCCAUGAUUAAACUGUACUCUUUUCAUGUUAUUUAAUAAAACGCUUUUUUUAGACCCUGUUUUAAAAGUGGUUGGGAAUGAGUUUUAAAAAACUUUCUUGGGCGCUGGGCCAACGGGAGUAGGAUCACUUAGCCAUACUUUAUAAUUGAAAAAACAAGUACUUUGGAAAUAUAUGCUACUCAGCCAAAGAAAAAAUUCUUGCCAAUAACCAUGACCGCUGAACCGCCGAAUAGAAACAUUAAUUAAUAUUUAAUUAAAAAAGGAAAUGAAAUUAACAUAUAUAACAUAAAAUUUCUCCACCGAUUCUUUCUAGUCGAGCCUCUGAGAAGUAGAAAGAAUUACAAUCCCCAUUCCACCUAAAAUUCUCACUUGACGCCCCUAUGCAUCUGUUAUAGUUAUUUCAUACCUUUUUUUUUUUUUUUUCCGUAUGAUUUUGCUUACUAUACUUGCUGCUGCUAUAGAAUAAUAAAUAAGAGCAUAAAUUCACUUACUUCGUCAGAAGGAUAUCAUUACAUAAUAUCUAUGAUUGUUUAUGUCUUUAACAGGACCACUUGAUUAAAUAUGGAGGAAAGUGGGAUAAAUGGUUAAAUCUCUUGUCUCCAGCUAUCGGAGAUCCCAUUUCCGUACCAACUCAAGAUAUGCUUAUGACGCUCUAUGUAUUAACAACCUAGAAUCGUCGAGGUAUUUGUGCAAAUAGGUCCUUUCAGGUAAAAUAAGAACAACUCCCAUGUUAAAAUAUAUAAAAAUAUUUUUUUUUUGUUUUUUUUAAAUUAUUUUUGAAAUCAGCACGUCCAAAACUUAUAGAAAAAAAAUUUGUAAAAAAAAAUUAAAUUUUUUUAAUAAUGUGUUUUAUACCGUUUUUCUCCAAGAUCAUACUUAGAUGCUAUGCCCGCGCAACGUUGUAGGCUUGUGACAUGUUUGUUUAUUGUUGUGGAUUUAUAUAAAAAAAAUUUAUAUGAAGAAAAUUUUUUGUGAUUCACAAUAUUUUUAAGAAAAAACUACAAAAAAUUCUUAACCAAUUUAAUAUUAAAAACAUAUUGAAGAUUUGGGAUGACCUCAGUCUUUAAUCUUGUGACUCAUGUGAUUGGGAUAUAAUUUAAUUAGUCAGAUUAUAAAUUUAUUUUUUAAUAAUUAUUAAUUCGAAUAUCAUAAAUUUCAAGGUUAUUGAAAAUUUACAUGAUUGUUAAUUUUAAAAUCUAUAAAAUUAAUCAAGAUACAUUUAAUUUAAUAGACCAAAUAUUUACAUUAAUGAAAUAAAAAAAUCUUGUGCUUCACAUGCAUGAUAUUUUAACAAAGAAUAGUCAAGUACACUUCAUUAUAGCCCCUUAUAGUGCACCUAAGAAGGACACGAAGAUCAAUCUUUUGCAUUCCUCCUAGAACUCUCCAGCUACUCGUUGUAAGCCGAGGAAAAAAAAACAAAGAGACCUCAAUUAAUUGCAGAAAUGAAGAAAGCUGAGCUAGUCUCCAUACCAGCACUUAAUGAAGAUUACCUUCCUCAUCAUGAGCCUAAGUUAUGACUCAAAGACCGCUUGCUAUAUUGAUUCAUUGAGUGCAACCGGCAAUCGAAUCUGGUUCAUUAAGUUGCCGUUGCCUGAAGAUAAGCCUGAACCCAGCAAGUUUCUCUUUUCUUUAAUUGGAACCCAAAACCCCAUAUCAAAGAAGUAGUUCAUGACACAUUUAUUCAUAUAAGUAAAUUUUUAUUUUAAGUUGAAAAUAAAAUAUAAAACCCAUCAAAACAAUAAAAUUAUAUUCAUACCACAAAUACAUUUGAUUUCAUGUAGGGUGUGUUGGGGUAUUAAUACCUUCUCUAAUCAAUAAUUUUUUUAAUUUUAAAAUUUAUAAUAAGAUUAAUGCAUCGAGUUUUUUAGUGAUUCUAAAUCAAACUAUUAGAAGGUGACUUUCUGAUUUCCUUACGCUAUUUGUCCACUUGCAGUAUUUAUAAUCUAAUAUAAGUAUUUUAACAUAAAAUAUUAACAUGUUUUUUAAAAAUUAAAAAAUCAAUUAAAUGUAAAUAUAAAAUUAUUCUUAAAAAACCUUUGGAUAACAAGGAUUUCAAGCUCAAAAUAGUUUUAUAGAUUGGACUAUGAGCAUAUGGGCUGAUGUUGAGCUUGGCUUUAAUUAAUGUAAGAUAUUUUAUUAUUAAGUUCAUGUUUUAUUAAUAUUAUUUUUAGUAUUAAAAAUAUUUUAAUACAUGAACCAAUUUAUUUAUUAAAUAAUGAGCGUUCAUAAUUUUUUCAUAAAUUAUAACUAAUUCAUGAAAAAAAUUAAGUCUACAUGCGAGCCCAUGCUGUGAACCUCAAAUCGGUCAAUGUCACGGAGAUGAAUAUUAUUGUUGUUGUCCAGCGGUUAUAUUAAUUCUAAACUAAUAUUAUUUGAUGCAAUGUAUAAUGAAGGUUAUGAAAUUUGUUAUACUAUGAAAAUUGUCAAAAAAAAUACAAUAUUUUUUUCUUUAUUUAAAAUUUGAGAUUAGUGCCUAAUUUGUUUUUAAACAUAACUGGUAUAAAGAUGAUAUGUUUUUAAAGUUAUUCAAAAACUAACUUCAAUCUCUAUUGACAUCAAUUAAAAAAAAAAAGAGCUCAGUCGCAUAAUGAAGAAAGCUGAGCUGGUCUUCAUACCAAAGUGUUGAUGAUUAAACCAAAGCAUAGAUCUAGAUAAUAUAGAUUAUAGUUGUUAAACUGGGUUCAGUAAUCUACUCAAAAUAAAAUUUAAAUCACUAAGUUACAAGGUCUCAUGUCAAUUAUUUUUAUUAAAAUAUAGGUGUUAUUUGGUUCUAGAAUUUUUUUUUUUUUAAAAAGAAAUUCUUAGUGUUGAUGUGUCUAGGUGCGACCUAGUUAAUAGGGUUAUUACAUAAGUUUUUUUGGGUGUGUAUAUAUAACUUUAACUUGGCCCCGAUCAAAUUUAAAAUCCUUACUUUUUUAAAAUUAAUUUAUCAAGUUAAAUUAAGUUUAAUCAUUAUGACAUUUGGUUUUUUUCUUGAUUUAAAUUUCGAGAUUAAUGUUUAUUUUUUUUAAAAAAAUACACCUAACUGAUACAAGAUGAUGUGUUUUUAAAGUUAUUCAUAACCUAAAUUUAAUCUCUAUUAACAUGAAUAUAUAUAUAUAUAUAUAUAUAUAUAAGCAUAGAAAAUUCAGCCCAUAAUAUGUAGUAAAAAACGUUGUCUUCUACUUUGAAUUUCAUAAAAGAGAUCUAAAUUUAAAUUUCUGACAGGGACGGCAUCCCUUUUUUUGGGUCUUCUUGACGAAUUGUAAAAGCAGUCCACAAUCACAGCAAAGCCAUGACCUCACUCAUAUCACAAUAAUAUGUAGCACCGGGAGUUCUCGUUCAGUAUGAAGUUGAAUGCAAGUCUAUGUCCACCUCGUGUAGUUGAAGAGGCCCGCGACGACAAACCUCAAUUUCUUCUUGCUGCUAGUGCUUCUUGUUAAAGCAGCUUUCAGUUUUCUCAUAAUGUUACAAGCUGUUGUUGAUCUCGAUUGAGUUGACAAGUCAUCGCCAGCUUUUAUCUAAAAAAUGCAAUGAUCUAUUCCACCAGCCAAGCAUAGAUAAAAGAUAUACGCGCUUCUUCUUCAUAUCAUAAAAGAGCGCUCCGACCGUCAAGCGGGCAAAUGCUUGGCUUGGUAGGUUCCAGUGAACCUUUAGUCAGAGAACUGGAUUGGCUUAGAGUGAAGUUUACCGUAGUAGAAAAGAGGAGCAUUCGGUGGAACCGGUACAGAAAUGGUUCCCAUUCGACUUGGGAAUUCCGUCUCUGGCUCGUGGGUUUAGGAUUGGCCUUCCUUCAUUAUUAUAAUUAUUAAUAUUAUUAUUAGUUGUCGUGACCGGUUAGGAUACUGAUAUUAAAGAAGCUAUAGGUCAUCAGUUGAUUCUAGAAUAAUUGUUUUUAUUAAAAUAGUAAUUUUUCUUCUAUUGAUUUGACGAGAGUCGAACGGAUUUGAUUGAUUUAAUAUUUUAACGGAUUUAACUAAAAACUUUAAAUGUCAAAUUUCUUAAGACCAAUCUGGUAAACUUCUAACAUACUACAAAACAUAUAUUGAUUUGUACAUUGAAAUUAUCACUUUAGCCUUAUUAAGAAAUACUCAAAGAACUUCAUUUUAAACAUAAAAAUUUCUUAAUUCAUUUAUCAUAGUUUAAAAAUUAAAAACCCCAUAGACAGAUUUACAAGUGGAAUGUAUUGGUCGACAUCUUACAAAAAAUUAAAACAUAUUUACCAAAAAUACAUCAAUCACCGACACCUUUACAAGCGGAUAAAGUCCGUUAGCAUUUUAUCAAGAGUUCAAAAAUAUUUACUGAAAAUGCCACAAUCACCUAUAUCUUUACAGACGGAUCGAGUAUGUCGGCAUUGUAUUGAGAGUUGAAAAAUAUUUACUAAAUAUGCCAUUAUAACCGAUGGAAUAUAUUUGUCAGUAUAUUUUAAGUGGGAAUUUUUUUUUACGCGUAUUUUCAGUCUGUAAAACCAUUAGUAAUUUUUUUUCUCUAGACAGAAGUAACAACGAAAUAUGGGAUUGCCGACGAACACUUUUCGUCGAUGAUUUUAUCAAAAAAAAAUUUACUAACGAAGUCUGAAUCUCACAUCGAUGAAUCCGGUCCAUCGGUGAAACUCUAAAAUCUUGCAAUGAUUAUUCUUAAAGAACCUUUGGAUAACAAGAGUUUCAAACCCAAAAUAGUUUUAUAAAUUUAACUAUUAGCAUGUGGGCUCAUGAGUUUGAGCUUGGCUUUGAUUAGUGUAAGAUAUUUUAUUAUUAAGUCCAUGUUUGAUUAAUAUUAUUUUUAGUGAUAAAAAUAUUUUAAUAAAUGAACCAAUAUAUUAAUUAAGUUAUAAAAAUGCAAAUAUUUUAUCGCACCCGACAUCGCAGCGACCUCUAAAAAUAAUAUUUGGGGAAGAUUGGAUUUCUGGCAUCCUAUUCUUUAAUGGGUAAUGAUCUUAUUUAAGGAGUCGUCACCUAGUAUUAUGGUCUCUAGGAAUUCUAACUGGUCAACAGAGAAUCUAUGGUACGGGAUUGGUUACGUAAAAGGGAAGAUAUUAUCACCUCUUAAACGUUCUGUCUAAGGCAGACUGCAUUGCUGGUUUUGUCUUUAAUUUCUAAACAUUUAUUCGCUUAUGCUAUGAUGAUUUGUUUAUAAUAUUCCUGACUCUAGUGCCAGUGAAUAUUCGAUCUAGAAUAAUUCCAACUCUGGCGUUGGUAAAAAUUCCAACCCCGAAUAAUUUUAACGUUGGUAAAAAUUCCACCAUGAAUAAUUUCAACUCUGGUAUUGGUAAAAAUUGGUAGCUAUAAAAAAAAAUCAAUAUAUUUUCUUAUUUUUUUUAUUUCUGAUCUUGAUAUCAGUGAAUAACUUGACAAAAGUAUUUUUUUUUAAGACAUGCAAAAUUUUUAUUUCUAUACUUUUUAUUUUUUUUUUCUUUUUUUUAGGGGCUGGGUCUGAUCCAGCCUACAUGGCUGGGUAGACCCAACAUUCCUGGUCUGGUCACUGGCCGAAGCCAGUGACCCGGUUGGGUAGUGAAUUAAUUAUAAUUCACUUGCUACUGUAGCAAGUGAAUUAUAAUGCAGGAGGGGAGAGACGAGAGAAGACUUACCUGGUGCAGCAAGGCGUAGCUGGAGACGAUGGCGCACUGCGCUGGACGAGCGGCACUGCCACCUCCUGUUCUUCCUCUCUUCUUCUUUCUCUUCCUCCUUUUCUUCCCCUGUUCGUCCCUGUAUUUCUCUCCUGGAGUGCCCUGUUUCUGGUGCAGUGGCUGCUGAAGAUGGAGCCCUGAAGCUGCUGUUUCUGUAGGCGACGAAAACAGUGGUAACGCUGGUGGUGACUCUUGUCUACUGCUUUCCUUGGUCUUCCUUCUGUGUUUCCUAUGCUCUCCCUCUCUCCAUGGCCUCCUCUGUUUCUUUGAGAAGAAACAGGGGAACGAAAGUCAACUCUUUUUUUUUCUUCACUCCUCGGUUAUGCUCUUUUCGUCUCUGUUUCGUUCUUCUUUGUGUGUUUCUUAUUGUUUUCGGUUUAUACCUCUGUUUCUAUUCGUGCUCCUGCCUCUUUGUUUUUCUCCGUUCUCGAUCGCUCUCUAUCUCUCCUGCCGGUUCCCCUGGCUUUUUCGUGUUACUCCUCAGUUUUUUCCUCUCUUUUUUCUUCUUUGUGGCCUUUGUUUCUUUGAGAAGAAACAGGGGCAAAAUUUGUAAUUGGACCCUGCAUUUCGGCACCUCUUAUAAGUUAGUCCUUGGACUUUAAUCUAUUGCAAAUGUGCCCCCAAUUAAACCCAAACUUUGAUAUUUCUUUCAAUUAAGUUCCUGAUUUCAUUAAUUAAAUUAAUUACAAGCUUAAUUAAGUCUCAAAACUUAUCAAUUCUCCAAUUAAACCCUUGAUUGGAUUUGUUAAAUUAAUUACAAGCUCAAUUAAGUCUCAAAACUUAUCAAUUCUCUAAUUAAGCCCUUGAUUGGAUUAAUUAAACUAGUCAAGAGUUUAAUUAAAUCUUUAAACUUGCAAUCAUGUUGUCCUUAACCCAAAUUUUAAUUCAUUCUUCAUUUAUUUUAUUUUUACUUGUUUUUUUUAUUUUUUAUUAAAUAAAAUAAUAAAAAGUUCAAUAUUAGGUUAUGACAUAUUUAAAUAAUGAGCAUUCAUAAUUUUUCAUGAAUUAUAAGUUAUUCAUGAAAAAAUUAAAUCUACAUGCUGUGAACCUCAAAUCGGUCUCGUGGGCUUCCAAAGCUUCUACAAAAGCCUUCGCGUCCUCCAUUCCUUGAUCAAUGUCACGGAGAUGAAUAUUAUUGUUGUUGUCCAUCGGUUACGAAAUUUGUUAUACUAUGAAAAUUGUUUAAAAAAAAUAUAUGCAAUAUUUUUUCUUUAUUUAAAUUUUGAGAUUAGGGCCUAAUUUUAAAAAAAUAUAUACCGAACUGGUAUAAAGAUGAUGUGUUUUUAAAGUUAUAACUUUAAUCUCACAAUGACAGCAAAGCCAUGACCUCACUGUCACUCUUGUCCUUGCACGGCUGCACGUAUAUAUUUUUUUAACAGUAAAUUGCCAAUCUCAAGUCCACUUAAUUAUAGCCACUAGUGCCCUUAAAAAGGAUAUGAAAAUCAGUCUUUUACAUGCAAUCCCACCUUGAAAUUCUCUAUAGCAAAUAGAGGGAAAAAAAACAGAGCUCCGUCGCAGGAUGAAGAAAGCUGAGUUGGUGUUCAUACCAAUAACAGGUAUAAGCCACCUCCUAUCCUCAGUAGAGGUAGCAAAGCUUCUUCUAGACCGUGAUGAGAGGCUUUCAAUCACCUUCCUCAUCAUGAAAAUACGUUCUGACCCCAAGAUUGAGAGGUUUAUAAAUUCAGUGAGCACAGCCUGUAAUCGUAUCCGCUUCAUUGACUUGCCUAAAGAUGAGCCUGAUCCAAACCAACCCAGGAAGUCUAUCUUUUCUUUGAUUGAAACCCAGAUACCCCAUGUCAAAGAUGAAGUCUCUAAGCUUGUGAGCCAGUCCGAGUCAAGCCCUGACUCGCCUACACUUUCUGGGUUUGUUCUCGAUAUGUUUUGUACACCAAUGAUAGACGUGGCCAAUGAAUUUGGUGUUCCCUCAUAUAUUUUCCUUACGUCAGGUGCAGCUUUCCUUGGCCUCCAAUUUUAUGUUCAGGCUCUUCACGAUGAGCAGAAAGUUGACCCUGCUGAGUUCAAGGGCUCUGAUGCUGAGUUAGUGAUGCCGUGUUUGGCAAAUCCUCUUCCAGCUAAGGUCUUGCCUUCUGUUUUGGUUGACAAAGAGUGGCUGCCAAAUAUGCUCAGUCAAGCUAGAAGGUUUAGAGAAACUAAGGGUAUUAUAAUAAACACAUUUGAAGAGCUGGAAUCUCAUGCGAUCCACUCCUUUUCUAAGGGUAAUACCCCUCCGGUAUAUCCAGUGGGUCCCAUUUUAAACCUUAAUAGAGAUGGUGAUUGUGACGAGGAGUCUGAUAAAUACAAAGACAUCAAGCAAUGGCUUGAUGAUCAGCCCCUAUCCUCAGUAGUGUAUCUAUGCUUCGGGAGCAGGGGGAGUUUCGGAGUGGAUCAGGUGAAGGAAAUUGCAUGGGGGCUAGAGCAGAGCGGGCAUCGAUUCUUGUGGUCUCUACGGAAACCACCACCGGUAGGGAAGAUGGAACUUCCAAGCGAUUACACUAAUCCUCGGGAUGUCUUACCUGAAGGAUUUCUGGAUCGGACGGCUAUCACAGGAAAAAUAAUUGGAUGGGCCCCGCAGACAGAUAUUUUGGCCCAUCCAUCCGUAGGAGGGUUCGUAUCGCACUGUGGAUGGAACUCUAUAUUGGAAAGCAUAUGGUUUGGCGUUCCAAUUGCCGCGUGGCCAUUAUAUGCAGAGCAACAACUGAAUGCCUUUCAAAUGAUUGUUGAGCUCGGAUUGGGAGUGGAGAUUAAAAUGGAUUAUAGAAGAGAGUUUAUCUCGGAUGGUAAUGAAGAUGUCAUUAGUGCCGGGGAGAUCGAGAGAGGAGUAAGGUGUUUAAUGGAGCUUUGCGAUGAGAAGAGGGAGAAGUUGAAGGAGAUGAGAGAGAAGAGCAGGAAGGCUUUGGAGAACGGUGGAACCUCGUUCACAUGGCUAGGUCGUUUCAUUCAAGAUACGGUGGACCACGUACCAUGAUUAAAUGGUACUCUCUUCGUAUUAUUUAAUACUGUGUCUUUGCGUUGAAAUAUUGUCUUUCAAAAUAAAUAAAUAAAUAUGGUUCAUUGAAAUCAGAGUUUUACCAUGCAUAGUAAAAUGAUUUGUGCAUUGAAAUUAUCACUUUAGCCCUAUUAAGAAAAACUCAAUGAACUUCAUCUCAAGGACAAAUAUUCUUAAAAAGAUAUUAAACUUAUAUAUAUUAAGCCAGGGUUGGAAAAAGGAUAUUAAACAAGGAAAUUUUUUAAAGAGUGAUCGAUAAUAAUUUUUUAAAUAAAUUCUUUGAAUAUAUAUAUAUAUAUAUAUAUAGAAAAUUGAGAGAUUUAGAAUCCUUUAAUUGAGUGAUUCCAGGAAGCCAUUUUUUUUUUUUUUUGUUGGAGUUGAAGUAGAUGGGUUAGAGUCAUUUCAUUUUUAUAUAUUGAAUUUGAAUUAUGAGUUUUAUUUCCCUUAAUAUACCCAAAAUACCGCAACCACAUACUUGUCUUUCCACUAAAUUUAUUCAAUUUGGAGAGGGAGAUGUAGUAGGUGAUUAGAGACUUUAAUACACAACCUGUUAAGUUAAAUUUUGUUGAAUUGCUAAUAAUUUUUUUAAUAAAAAAAUUUGGCUUGAUGUGACCUGAUCAGGAUAUAAAAAUAAUUUAGGUUGGCUAUAAAAAUAUAAUUUGAUUAAAAAAAUUAAAAUAAUAUUUUUAUAAAAAAAUAUUAAAAUAAUAACAUCUUGAUACAGAUCAACUUAAAUUAAUCUAUAAAUUUUCCAAUUAUAAUUAUAAAAUUAUUAUAAUAAAAUUUAAUUUUUAAUCAAUUUUAAAUAAUAAAAUUAAAAAAAUCUAAACAUAACAUAAUUUAAUCCAAAUUAACCUAUUAAUCCAAAUUAACCUUCUUUUCCUCGCUCAAGCUAGAAGGUUCAGGGAAAGUAAGGGUAUUAAACACAAAUAAAGAGCUGGAAUCUCAUGCGAUCAACUCCUUUUCUAAUGGCAAUACCCCUCCCGUGUGUCAGUGGGUCCCAUUUUAAACAAUGGCUUGAUGAUCAGCCUCUAUCAUCAGUGGUGCAUAUAUGCUUCGGGAGCAUGGGAAGUUUCGGUGUGGAUCAGGUGAAGGAAAUCGCAUGUGGGCUAGAGCAGGGCGGCCAUCGAUUCUUGUGGUCUCUACGUAAACCACCACCGAAAGGCAGGAUGGAACUUCUUCCAAGCGAUUACACUAAUCCUCGGGAUGUCUUACCUAAAGGAUUUUUUUUGAUCGGACGACUAACAUUGGAAAAAUAAUUGGAUGGGCUCCACAGAUGAAUAUUUUGGCUCAUCCUUCGGUGGGAGGGUUUGUAUCGUACCGUGGAUGGAAUUCUAUAUUGGAAAGCAUGGUGUUCCAACUUCCAAUUGCUGCCUGGCAGAGCACAAACUAAAGCUUUUCAAAUAGUUGUAGAGUUAGGGUUGGGAGUGGAGAUUAAAAUAAUUAAAAGAAUUGAACUCGGAUGGUAAAAGCCUAAUUAUUUUAAUUUUUUUUAUGUUUAUUUUGAACACUUUAAAGAAAGAACUAGAUAAAAUGUUAAAAUAUUUUUUCUCUUUCAUAAAUAAUAUUUUUAUAUAUUUUUCAAAAAAGUCAAAAUCAACAAAAUAGCUUUUACCAUCACCAUCACAAUAUAAUUAGCUUUUCAAACGAUUUUUUUCCAUUAGAAUAGAUAUUAUAAAAAAAAACUAUAUUUAUACUAUUUAAAAUGCUAUUUUAUCAAUUUAACUUUUUAAAAUAGUAUUUUUCAUUGGAGAUGCUCUUACAGCAAAGCCAUGACCUCAGUCUUUAAUUUUGUGCCUCACGUGAUUGGGAUGUAAUUCAGUUAGUCAUAUUAUAAAUUUAUUCGAAUCUCGUAAAUUUCAAGGUUAUUAAAGAUUUAUAUGAUUGUUAAUUUUAAAAUUAAUUAAGAUACGUGUAAGGCGGAACAAAUAUUUACAUUAAUGAAAUAAAAAAAUCUUGUGCUACACAUGCAUGAUAUUUUUAACAAAGAAUAGUCAAGUACACUUCAUUAUAGCCCCUUAUAGUGCACCUAAGAAGGACACGAAGAUCAGUCUUUUGCAUUCCUCCUUGAACUCUCUAGCUACUCAGUUGCAUAAAUGAAGAAAGCUGAGCUAGUCGCCAUACCAGCACCUGGUAGAAGCCACCUUAUGUCCACCUUAGUCUCCAUACGGCAAUUCAUUUUUUGGGGUCUUUCUGACGAAUUGUAAAAGCAGUCCACAAUGACAGCAAAGCCAUGACCUCACUCUCACUCUUGGCCUGCACGGCUGCACGUAUAUCUUUUUCAACAAUAAAUUGCCAAUCUCAAGUCCACUUAAUUAUAGCCACAAACAGUGCCUUUAAAAGGACACUGAGGCUUUUGGCUCGGCACUGGGAGGAGCUUUGUUUCUUUCCUGAGUUCGAAUCUUCAUGUGUAUGUUUGUUAUUUUCAUGGUGUUUUAUAUAUCUAUUAGGUUUGCAGGGUAUUUAGUAGUCGUGAAAUUAAUCGUGGUGAAGAAAAAAAAUCAGUCUUUUACAUGCAAUCCCACCUGGAAAUUCUCUAGCAAAUAGAGGAAAAAAAAAAAAAUAAGUCGCAGAAUGAAGAAAGCUGAGCUGGUCUUCAUACCAAAGUGUUGAUGAUUAAACCAAAGCAUAGAUCUAGAUAAUAUAGAUUAUAGUUGUUAAACUGGGUUCAGUAAUCUACUCAAAAUAAAAUUUAAAUCACUAAGUUACAAGGUCUCAUGUCAAUUAUUUUUAUUAAAAUAUAGGUGUUAUUUGGUUCUAGAUUUUUUUUAUGAAAAAAAGAAAUUCUUAGUGUUGACGUGUCUAGGUGUGACCUAGUUAAUAGGGUUAUUAAAUAAGUUUUUUUGUGUGUCUAUAUAUAACUUUAACUUGGCCCAGAUCAAAUUUAAAAUCCUUACUUUUUUAGAUUAUUUUAUCAAGUUAAACUAAGUUUAAUCAUUAUGACAUUUGGUUUUUUUUUCUUGAUUUAAAUUUCAAGAUUAGUGUUUAUUUAAAAAAAAAAUACACCUCACUGAUAAAAGAUGAUGUGUUUUUUUAGUUAUUCAUAACCUAAAUUUAAUCUCUAUUAACAUCAAUCCUAAAACAUCAAUAUAUAAGCAUAGAAAAUUCAGCCUAUUGUAAAAGAGAUUUAAAUUUCUGACAGGGACGGCAUCCCAUUUUUUUGGGUCUUCUCGACGAAUUGUAAAAGCAGUCCACAAUCACAGCAAAGCCAUGACCUCACUCUUAUUCUUGUCCUGCUCGAAUGUAGUUUUGAACAGUACAUUGCCAAUCUCAAGUCCACUUAAUUAUAGCCACAAACAGUGCCUUUAAAAAGGAUAUGAAAAUCAGUCUCUUACAAGCAAUCCCACCUCGAAAUUCUCUGGCAAAUAAAGAAAAAAAAAGGAGCUCAGUAGCAGAAUGAAGAAAGCUGAGCUGGUCUUCAUACCAACACCAGGUAUCAGCCACCUCGUAUCCACAGUAGAGGUAGCAAAGCUUCUUGUUGACCGUGAUGAGAGGCUUUCAGUCACCUUCCUAAUCAUGAAAAUACGUUCUGACCCCAAGAUUGAUAGGUUUAUAAAUUCAAUGAGUACAGCCUGUAAUCGUAUCCGCUUCAUUGACUUGCCUAAAGAUGAGCCUGAUCCAAACCAACCCAGGAAGUUUCUCUUUUCUAUGUUUGAAGCCCAGAUACCCCAUGUCAAAGAUGAAGUCUCUAAGCUUGUGAGCCUGUCCGAGUCAAGCCCUGACUCGCCUACACUUUCUGGGUUUGUUCUCGAUAUGUUUUGUACACCAAUGAUAGACGUGGCCAAUGAAUUUGGUGUUCCCUCAUAUAUUUUCCUUACGUCAGGUGCAGCUUUUCUUGGCCUCCAAUUUUAUGUUCAGGCUCUUCACGAUGAGCAGAAAGUUGACCCUACUGAGUUCAAGGGCUCGGAUGCUGAGUUGGUCAUGCCGUGUUUGGCAAAUCCUGUUCCAGCUAAGGUCUUGCCUUCUGUUUUGCUUAACAAAGAGUGGCUGCCAAAUAUGCUCCGUCAAGCUAGAAGGUUUAGAGAAACUAAGGGUAUUAUAAUAAACACAUUUGAAGAGCUGGAAUCCCAUGCGAUCAACUCCUUUUCUAAAGGUAAUAGCCCUCCGGUAUAUCCAGUGGGUCCCAUUUUAAACCUUAAUAGAGAUGGUGAUUGUGACGAGGAGUCUGAUAAAUACAAAGACAUCAAGCAAUGGCUUGAUGAUCAGCCCCUAUCCUCAGUAGUGUAUCUAUGCUUCGGGAGCAUGGGGAGUUUCGGAGUGGAUCAGGUGAAGGAAAUUGCUUAUGGGCUAGAGCAGAGCGGGCACCGAUUCUUGUGGUCUCUACGUCAACCACCACCGGAAGGGAAGAUGGAAGCUCCAAGCGAUUACACUGAUCCUCGGGAUGUCUUACCUGAAGGAUUUUUGGAUCGGACGGCUAACACAGGAAAAAUAAUUGGAUGGGCCCCACAGACAGAUAUUUUGGGCCAUCCAUCCGUAGGAGGGUUUGUAUCGCACUGUGGAUGGAACUCUAUAUUGGAAAGCAUAUGGUUUGGCGUUCCGAUUGCCGCGUGGCCAUUAUAUGCAGAGCAACAACUCAAUGCCUUUCAAAUGAUUGUUGAGCUCGGAUUGGGAGUGGAGAUUAAAAUGGAUUAUAGAAGAGAGUUUAUCUCGAAUGGUAAUGAAACUGUCAUUAGUGCCGGGGAGAUCGAGAGAGGAGUAAGGUGUUUAAUGGAGCUUUGCGAUGAGAAGAGGGAGAAGUUGAAGGAGAUGAGUGGAAAGAGCAGGAAGGCUUUGGAGAACGGUGGAUCCUCGUUCACAUGGUUAGGUCGUUUCAUUCAAGAUACGAUGGACCACCUACAAUGAUUAAAUUACUAGAUGCCAUCCCGGUGCCGCAGGCUUGUGGUAUAUUUAUAUAUUAUUGUAGAUUUAUGAAAAAAAUAAAAAUAUAUAUAUAAAAAGAGAAAAAUUGUUGCAAAUGUUUUCAAAAAAAAAAGUAAAAUUUUUAAUCAGUUUAAUAUUUAAAAAAUAAAAUAAUAAAAGAAAAUUUUUAAAAAAUUCACAUAAAAAAAAAACGAAAGGAAAGAAAAACUUUGUAAUAAAAUACUGUAAUAAUUUAUAGUGUUUCAUAAAAAAAUUCAUAAUUAUAAUUCUUAACUAACUCAAUAGUUAAAAUAAUAAAAUUAAUAAAAAUAAUUUUAAAAAAUUUCGUAACAAUAAAAAAUUAUAUGGUGGAAAACUGUAAUAAUCUACUCUACUUGACUUGGGCUAGGGCUUGAAUUGGCCUCUUGACUUUUUGGAGCUUGGGCAUUUCUUUGCUGGGUAUUCUUUUUCUUCAAUUGAACUUCUCUCUGCCCAUACAAACACAAAAAAAGAUAAAAAAAUAAUAAAAAAAAACAUGUAGGAAAAGUUAAAACUAAAUUCUAAAUCAGUUAAAUAUUAAAAAAAACAUUCGGGAAAGAUAAUUUAAAAAAAAACAUGUAGAUAAACACUGUAGCAAAACAAAAACCAUGUGGGGAAACGUUAUUACAGUCCAUAGUGUUUUUUUAAAAAAAAACUACGAAGCAAAAUUCAUAACCAGCUUAAUAUGAAAAAAAAAAAUCGACAAAGAUUAUUUUUAAAAAAAUCAUGAAAAAAAAGAAAACAAAUGUGUGAAAACAUUGCAGUAAUCCAAAAUGUUUUUUAAAAAAACUACAGAAUUAAAUUUUCAACUAGUUCAAUAUUAAAAAACAUUGACAAAGAUAAUUUAAAAAAAAACACAAAAAGAAAAAAGAAGAUAAUCUUAGGGGAUAAAAAGAAAAAAAAUGUAAAAUAAAAAAAAAAGGUAAAAACGAUAAAAAAAAAAUUAGGGAAAGAUUAAAAAAAAAGGGAAAAAAAAAGACAAAAUACAAAAGUAACUGAAAAAACAAAAACAACACAAAACAAAAUUAAAAAUAUUAAAAAACAAAAACAUGUAAGGAAAGUGUUUUAAAGUUUUUGUUUAAGUUGUUUUAUUGUUAUAAUUAUAGCUGUCGGAUCUUCUUGGGAAUUUAUACGAAAAAUCCAAGAGGCUAUGAAGUGAAUCUGGAUGCACUAUUUUUAUAGAAAAACUAAUAUUUUAUUAUUUUCUUAUGUUGAUCAACAAGAUUAUUAGGGUUGGAUUUAGCAACGACAAGGAGAACGAUGUCGUAUGAAUUUGAUUUAAUUAAAUAUCUUUGUAAAACUGAGCCUAAAUCAGGCUUUCAAUUUCAAAUUUCUUGUACCAAUCCACUAAACUAACCCUUAAAAGGUUCAUUACCUGGGAAGUCAUUCUAAAAUGACGAAAUGAUAGUCACUUUUCUGACAAAAAUUCAUUGAAAAAGUCAAAACAUCUACGACGCAGAUCUCCAAUGUUUUCAUUUUCUAAAACCAUCACCAAAAGCUCUUUUUUUUUUUUUCCGGAUGGUUAUCGUUAUUAUGUUAUUUUUGUUGAUGUCCACACAAAAUAUAUAUGGUAUUAUCCAUUUAUUGUAAAAUCUGAUGUUUAUUCUAUUUUUCAUCAAUUUUAAACUUUUAUCGAGCAUCAAUUUUCAUCAAAAAUAAAAUAUGUUCAAACUGAUUGGGGCAGUGACUCUCCAUUUUCUUUCAAACCAUUAGUAUUUAUCACCAUUUGAUAUGUCCUCACACUUGCGAACAAAAUGGAAUAGUAAAAAGACAUCAUUGACAUAUUGUGGAAACCGACCUUACUCUUUUAGGCCAAUGUAAAUCUCCAUUCCGCUUUUGGAAUUAUGCUUUUGAAACUUUGGUUUAUCUCAUCAAUCGCAUGCCUAUUCUUGUUCUUGCAAAUCGAUCUCCAUAUGAUUGUUUGUGUCAUUGUUCUACUUAUUAUCAUUUUUUGCGUACUUUUGGAUGUCUCUGUUUUCCCUUUUUGCGUCCUUAUAAUAAUCAUAAACCGGAUUUUCAGUCUUUUCCAUGUGUGUUUUAUGGCUACAGUUCUUCUCACCUUGGUUAUCGAUGUUUUGACAUUGAAUCUUAUCACAUGUAUAUCUUCUGUUAUGUCUGUUUUCAUGAACAUGUUUUUUCGUUUGAUAAUUCUGAACAUAUUACAUAGGUUUUGGCUCAAAACCACACACUAUUUCCUGCUACCAUCCUCCCAAAUCUGACCCACACCCCAUUAUUCACCGAUCAUGACACACCCCAUUCCGCCUCAGCCUCUACCCUGCAUUCACCUCCUACUAAAACACCACAGUCUCUACCUUUCACUUGCCGAUCACCAUAUACAUCUUUAUCUCACCAUUCUGUUGCAGGUACAUGUUGUAGAUUAGUUUUCCCUACACUCCAGCACGAUGUCUCUGCUAGUACUGGGAAACCCUUUGGUUCCUCCUUUGCUUCCCCUUUAUUUUGCCAGUCACCUGGCUUCUGAAGACUCUGUCUUUGUUGCCAACCUUGUUGUUGUUGGCAGCCCUCUGCUUGAGGCAACUUCUUCACCUAGUUUGAAUCUAGUGAUUGAUCUCUCCGCUUAUCCACUACAGCAGGACACCUCUGUGACACCAACCUCCGCUGCAUCACCAUCGUUUCUCAGCUGCCACCUUAUGGUCCUUAGACCGCGACAGCCCAAAACCGCAAAUAUGAUGGCCUCUACUGCAGCUGAUACAGUUGCCACUUGAGUAUUGCUAUCUCCUUCUUCUGAACCAAUUGCCUUCUCUGAUUUAGAUAAAUAUGUUGAUUGGCAUGAUGUUAUAUGUGAAGAGAUCAAGGCAUUGCGUUCCAACCACACUUGGUCCCUAAUGCCCCUUCAUCCUUCGAUGAAUGUUGUUGGCAAUCGAUGAAUAUAUCGGAUCAAACAUCGUGUUGAUGGUAGCAUUGAAUGUUAUAAAGCCCGUCUAGUUGCUAAAGGCUUUACCCAACAGGAAAGCAUUGAUUAUUCUGAAACUUUAGUCCAGUUAUUAAGCAGGCCACCAUCAGAUUAGUCUUGUCCAUUACGGUUUCACGUAAUUAGAAGAUUCAUAAGCUCGAUAUUCAUAAUGCAUUUCUCAAUGGUGUUCUUAUUGAAGAAGUCUACAUGAAGCAACCUCCAGAUUUUAUUGACCCUACUCUUCCAUCUCAUGUGUGCAAAUUGUACAAGUCAUUAUAUGGUUUAAAACAGACACCAAGGGCAUGGUACACCCAUCUGAGUAAGUUUUUACUCUCCAUUGGUUUCCUUGCCUUCAAGGUUGACACCUCCUUGUUUUAUCUUAUUUGAUGGUACUAAUAUCUUUUUUCUCCUAGUAUAUGUUGAUGAUAUUCUACUUAUGGGUAGCAACUCUGUCAUGUUUCAUCACCUAAUCCAGUUACUCAGCUUAGAAUUCAAGCUUCGUGACUUAGGUAUUGUUCACUAUUGUCUGGGUAUUGAAGUUCAGUAUACAAGUAUAGGUUUAAUGUUGCGCCAACACAAAUAUAUUAUUCACAUCCUCACUCGAGGUGGUAUGCCUUCUUGUUAACCCGUUGAUACUCUAGGUUCCCUCCAUCUCUGCUCCUUGGUGCGAUCUAUCUCUCAGCAAAUCCUAUCUUUCAUGCUUGUAUUAAACAUAUUGAGGUAGAUUAUCACUUUGUCUGCAAAGAAGAAAAUUCAUAUUCGCUUUAUCCCUUCUCGGGAUCAACUUGUUGAUGUCUUCAACAAAUCACUUUCUGUUGUGUCUUUUACUGCUUUCAGGUUUAAGCUUCGGGUCGAUCCUCAACCCUCAACUUGAAGGGACAUAUUAUAGAAUGUAUAGCAUGUAUAUCUUUCAAUAAAAAAUUAAUGUAGAAUUAUUUUAAUGUUAUAAUCCCUAUAAUAACGAUCGUAUUCUACCUUACAUGUAUAUAUCAAAAAAAUUGAUUAAUAACAACCUAAAUCAUUAUGUUAUUCUCGAUUUCUAUUAUCAUCAAUUAAAAAAAAAUAGAAAAUUCAGCCCAUAAUACGAUAGGGAGGGCAAAAUAUUCAGCCCAUAAUAACUGAGCAACAGCUAAUAAGGGUUCAAAAAACGUUGUCUUUUCAUGACUUAAAUUACUGACAGGAACGGCAUCGCUUUUUUUUGGGUCUUCUUGACGAAUUGUAAAAGCAGUCCACAAUGACAGCAAAGCCAUGACCUCACUCUCACUCUUGUCCUGCACGUAUAUAUUUUUGAGCAGUAAAUUGCCAAUCUCAAGUCCACUUAAUUAUAGCCACAAGUAGUGCCCUUAAAAAGGAUAUGAAAAUCAGUCUUUUACAUGCAAUCCCACCUUGAAAUUCUCUAGCAAAUAAAGAAAAAAUUAAAGAGCUCAGUCGCAGAAUGAAGAAAGCUGAGCUGGUCUUCAUACCAACACCAGGUAUCAGCCACCUCCUAUCCACAGUAGAGGUAGCAAAGCUUCUUCUAGACCGUGAUGAGAGGCUUUCAAUCACCUUCCUCAUCAUGAAAAUACGUUCUGACCCCAAGAUUGAGAGGUUUAUAAAUUCAGUGAGUACAGCCUGUAAUCGUAUCCGCUUCAUUGACUUGCCUAAAGAUGAGCCUGAUCCAAACCAACCCAGGAAGUUUCUCUUUUCUUUGAUUGAAACCCAGAUACCCCAUGUCAAAGAUGAAGUCUCUAAGCUUGUGAGCCAGUCCGAGUCAAGCCCUGACUCGCCUACACUUUCUGGGUUUGUUCUCGAUAUGUUUUGUACACCAAUGAUGGACGUGGCCAAUGAAUUUGGUAUUCCCUCAUAUAUUUUCCUUACGUCAGGUGCAGCUUCUCUUGGCGUCCAAUUUUAUGUUCAGGCUCUUCACGAUGAGCAGAAAGUUGACCCUACUGAGUUCAAGGGCUCUGAUGCUGAGUUGGUCAUGCCGUGUUUGGCAAAUCCUGUUCCAGCUAAGGUCUUGCCCUCUGUUUUGCUUAACAAAGAGCGGCUGCCGCAUAUGCUCCGUCAAGCUAGAAGGUUUAGAGAAACUAAGGGUAUUAUAAUAAACACAUUUGAAGAGCUGGAAUCGCAUGCGAUCAACUCCUUUUCUAAAGGUAAUAUCCCUCCGGUAUAUCCAGUGGGUCCCAUUUUAAACCUUAAUAGAGAUGGUGAUUGUGACGAGGAGUCUGAUAAAUACAAAGACAUCAAGCAAUGGCUUGAUGAUCAGCCCCUAUCCUCAGUAGUGUAUCUAUGCUUCGGGAGCAUGGGGAGUUUCGGAGUGGAUCAGGUGAAGGAAAUUGCUUAUGGGCUAGAGCAGAGCGGGCACCGAUUCUUGUGGUCUCUACGUCAACCACCACCGGAAGGGAAGAUGGAAGCUCCAAGCGAUUACACUGAUCCUCGGGAUGUCUUACCUGAAGGAUUUUUGGAUCGGACGGCUAACACAGGAAAAAUAAUUGGAUGGGCCCCGCAGACAGAUAUUUUGGGCCAUCCAUCCGUAGGAGGGUUCGUAUCGCACUGUGGAUGGAACUCUAUAUUGGAAAGCAUAUGGUUUGGCGUUCCGAUUGCCGCGUGGCCAUUAUAUGCAGAGCAACAACUCAAUGCCUUUCAAAUGAUUGUUGAGCUCGGAUUGGGAGUGGAGAUUAAAAUGG